CAGUAGCCGCGGGAAUACGAAGGGGGCUAGCGUUGCUCGGAAUCACUGGGCGUAAAGGGUGCGUAGGCGGGUCUUUAAGUCAGAGGUGAAAGCCUGGAGCUCAACUCCAGAACUGCCUUUGAUACUGAGGAUCUCGAGUUCGGGAGAGGUGAGUGGAACUGCGAGUGUAGAGGUGAAAUUCGUAGAUAUUCGCAAGAACACCAGUGGCGAAGGCGGCUCACUGGCCCGAUACUGACGCUGAGGCACGAAAGCGUGGGGAGCAAACAGGAUUAGAUACCCCCGUAGUCCAUGUCUCUUAUAC
RNAcentral lists this ribosomal RNA (301 nucleotides) under uncultured bacterium. RNAcentral describes it as "partial 16S ribosomal RNA". It matches the Rfam family "Bacterial small subunit ribosomal RNA", at positions 509 to 807 of the family's 1533-position model. The record is from RNAcentral.